Molecule: unclassified non-coding RNA, 240 nt
Filed under: Hevea brasiliensis (rubber tree)
Lineage: Eukaryota; Viridiplantae; Streptophyta; Magnoliopsida; Malpighiales; Euphorbiaceae
Source: RNAcentral
AACCCCAACUGGGUCAGAAGUAGCUUCUCCAAGUUUGCCAUCUCCGCUGUGUACCCCUAUGGCUGCUGGCCUUUCCAUGAAGAGAUCAAUCCAACGGUUCCUCCAGAAAAGGAAGCAUAGGGUCCAAGCGAUUUCUCCUUACAAUCAUUAAUAUUAAUUAACCUUAAUAUUAUGCAUGGAGCAUGGGCUUUUGACGCUCAUAUAUAGUUGAGAAAGUAAAAUUUUCAGUAUAGAAUUAAA